UUCUUGGAGAGUUUGAUCCUGGCUCAGGACGAACGCUGGCGGCGUGCCUAAUACAUGCAAGUCGAGCGGACAGAUGGGAGCUUGCUCCCUGAAGUCAGCGGCGGACGGGUGAGUAACACGUGGGCAACCUGCCUGUAAGACUGGGAUAACUUCGGGAAACCGGAGCUAAUACCGGAUAAUGCUUUUGGACUC
This 192-nucleotide ribosomal RNA is filed under the name Bacillus mesophilum. Its description in RNAcentral is "Bacillus sp. IITR-54 Bacterial small subunit ribosomal RNA". It matches the Rfam family "Bacterial small subunit ribosomal RNA", at positions 1 to 189 of the family's 1533-position model. Lineage: Bacteria; Bacillati; Bacillota; Bacilli; Caryophanales; Bacillaceae. The record is from Rfam by way of RNAcentral.